ACCGGGGCGGACAGCAUAUGAAGGUCAGGCUGAAGACCUUACCCGAUUAGCUGAGAGGUGGUGCAUGGCCGUCGUCAGUUCGUACUGUGAAGCAUCCUGUUAAGUCAGGCAACGAGCGAGACCCACGUCCACAGUUGCCAGCAUACCCUCCGGGGUGAUGGGUACACUGUGGAGACCGCCGCUGCUAAAGCGGAGGAAGGAGUGGGCAACGGUAGGUCAGUAUGCCCCGAAUCUCCCGGGCUACACGCGGGCUACAAUGGUUGGUACAAUGGGCAUCUACCCCGAAAGGGGAAGGAAAUCUCUUAAAGCCAAUCGUAGUUCGGAUUGAGGGCUGCAACUCGCCCUCAUGAAGCUGGAAUCCGUAGUAAUCGCGUUUCAACAGAACGCGGUGAAUACGUCCCUGCUCCUU
This 409-nucleotide ribosomal RNA is filed under the name uncultured Methanosaeta sp. RNAcentral's name for it is "bacterial SSU rRNA". It matches the Rfam family "Archaeal small subunit ribosomal RNA", at positions 929 to 1338 of the family's 1478-position model. The record is from RNAcentral. Lineage: Archaea; Methanobacteriati; Methanobacteriota; Methanomicrobia; Methanotrichales; Methanotrichaceae.